UAAAACCCCUGUUCAUGAGCUUGGGCUGAAUCUUUGGCGUGAUAACAUAGUACGUUCGAGUAAUAUUCAGAUGAGACUUCUGAGUACGCUUCUUGAACUUAUACUCAAAGAAAGGGAUGGUGAAGUAAUUAACCGGGGACUGAUGAGAAAUAUAAUUAAAAUGUUUAUGGAUUUAGGACCAUCUGUAUACCAGGAAGACUUUGAAAAACCUUUCCUUGAAAUAUCAGCUGAUUUUUACAGAGCCGAGUCUCAGAAAUUCAUUGAAUGUUGCGACUGUGGAGACUACCUCAAGAAAGCCGAAAAGCGUUUAACCGAAGAAAUUGAGAGGGUGUCACACUACUUGGAUCCGAAGACUGAAGCGAAGAUCACUAAUGUGGUGGAGAAAGAGAUGAUUGAGA
RNAcentral lists this unclassified non-coding RNA (398 nucleotides) under Hevea brasiliensis (rubber tree). Lineage: Eukaryota; Viridiplantae; Streptophyta; Magnoliopsida; Malpighiales; Euphorbiaceae. The record is from RNAcentral.